This 591-nucleotide ribosomal RNA is filed under the name Rhodotorula mucilaginosa. Its description in RNAcentral is "eukaryotic LSU rRNA". The stretch from base 155 to 308 matches the Rfam family "5.8S ribosomal RNA". The record is from RNAcentral. Lineage: Eukaryota; Fungi; Basidiomycota; Microbotryomycetes; Sporidiobolales; Sporidiobolaceae.
AGUGAAUAUAGGACGUCCAACUUAACUUGGAGUCCGAACUCUCACUUUCUAACCCUGUGCAUUUGUUUGGGAUAGUAACUCUCGCAAGAGGGCGAACUCCUAUUCACUUAUAAACACAAAGUCUAUGAAUGUAUUAAAUUUUAUAACAAAAUAAAACUUUCAACAACGGAUCUCUUGGCUCUCGCAUCGAUGAAGAACGCAGCGAAAUGCGAUAAGUAAUGUGAAUUGCAGAAUUCAGUGAAUCAUCGAAUCUUUGAACGCACCUUGCGCUCCAUGGUAUUCCGUGGAGCAUGCCUGUUUGAGUGUCAUGAAUACUUCAACCCUCCUCUUUCUUAAUGAUUGAAGAGGUGUUUGGUUUCUGAGCGCUGCUGGCCUUUAGGGUCUAGCUCGUUCGUAAUGCAUUAGCAUCCGCAAUCGAACUUCGGAUUGACUUGGCGUAAUAGACUAUUCGCUGAGGAAUUCUAGUCUUCGGACUAGAGCCGGGUUGGGUUAAAGGAAGCUUCUAAUCAGAAUGUCUACAUUUUAAGAUUAGAUCUCAAAUCAGGUAGGACUACCCGCUGAACUUAAGCAUAUCAAUAAGCGGAGGAAAAG